UCGUUCUGGUCGAUUUCAUUAUCGUUGUUACAUUCUAUAUAGGUUGACAACAUUUUUAGGCUAAAAUUUCAGUUAGUAAACUAAUAAAACAAAUUUUAGAAUUAUGACUACUUCGAAGUGCCAAAGCUAAAAAGAAAACGUCUGUCUAAUGCCAAAAGAUCGCCAGGAUAACCCGCAAUGGAUAGCUUAACUUUUUACGUGAGCUUAAGGAAAAUAAUGGCGGCCUUUCGCCCCAGGAGACUGUCCGUAUAGGAGCAAAGGCUUGAAACCGACUAAAUUCAAUUAAUGAAACUGGUUGCGUUGAUCCAGAAAGAGGGAUAUACAGACCAAAGGACAUGAUUAUAUGGACUCAUCUAGUCUUUCUAAAGAUUCAUGCAAGGAAUAUGUAAAUAAAGAAACUAAAGACCAUAACUUAA
This is a long non-coding RNA of Drosophila willistoni, 416 nucleotides long. RefSeq lists it as uncharacterized. Lineage: Eukaryota; Metazoa; Arthropoda; Insecta; Diptera; Drosophilidae. The transcript is spliced from 2 exons. The record is from RefSeq and is a predicted model, not a curated record.